CCGCCAUGCGCAGCCGGAGCAACUCGGGUGUGCGGCUGGACGGCUACGGGCGCCUAGUGCAGCAGACCAUCCUCCGGCACCAGGACGCGGUGACGGGCCUGCUCCCCGCCAGCGCCGACCACCAGGAUGCCUGGGUCCGGGACAACGUCUACGGCAUCCUGGCCGUCUGGGGACUGGGUCUGGCCUACCGCAAGAAUGCUGACCGCGACGAGGACAAGGCCAAGGCCUACGAGCUGGAGCAGAGCGUGGUGAAGCUGAUGCGGGGGCUGCUCCAGUGCAUGAUGAGACAGGUGGACAAGGUGGAGGCGUUCAAGUACAGCCAGAGCACCAGGGACUGCCUGCAUGCUAAGUACAACACCCACACCUGUGCCACCGUGGUGGGGGACCACGAGUGGGGUCACCUACAGAUGGAUGCCACCUCGCUCUACCUGCUCAUGCUGGCACAAAUGACGGCCUCAGGCCUCCACAUAAUUCACAGCCUGGAUGAAGUCAACUUUAUCCAGAACCUUGUGUUCUACAUUGAAGCAGCCUACAAAACUGCGGACUUUGGGAUAUGGGAGCGUGGGGACAAGACGAACCAGGGCAUCACUGAGUUGAAUGCUAGCUCCGUCGGCAUGGCCAAGGCUGCCCUGGAGGCAUUGGAUGAGCUGGAUCUCUUUGGAGCAAAGGGAGGCCCGCAGUCAGUGAUACGGGUGCUGUCGGAUGAGGUGCAGCACUGCCAGUCCAUCCUCCACUCGAUGCUGCCCAGGGCCUCCACAUCCAAGGAGGUGGACGCCAGCGUGCUCUCUGUCAUUUCCUACCCAGCAUUUGCUGUGGAGGACAGCGAGCUGGUGGAAAUCACCAAGCAAGAGAUAAUCACAAAGCUGCAGGGGCGCUACGGCUGCUGCCGCUUCCUCCGGGAUGGAUACAGAACCCCCAAAGAGGACCCCAACCGCCUCUACUAUGAACCUGCUGAGCUGAAGCUGUUUGAGAACAUCGAGUGUGAAUGGCCUCUCUUCUGGGCAUACUUGAUCAUUGAUGGGAUUUUCAGUGGAAACAUGGAGCAGGUGCAGGAGUACCGGGAAGCCCUUGAGGGGGUUCUCAUCAAGGGGAAGAAUGGGUUGCGCCUGGUGCCAGAGCUGUACAGUGUCCCACCAGAUAAGGUGGAUGAGGAGUACAGGAACCCCCACACUGUGGACAGGAUACCCAUGGGCAAGCUGCCGCUCAUGUGGGGGCAGUCCCUCUACAUCCUGGGUUGCCUAAUGGCUGAGGGGUUUCUAGCUCCUGGUGAAAUAGAUCCCCUCAACCGCCGGUUUGCAACUGUCCCCAAGCCUGAUGUGGUGGUCCAAGUGUGCAUCCUGGCAGAGACGGAGGGGAUCAAGGCAGCCCUGAGGAAGGAGGACAUCGACGUGGAGACUGUGGCAGAUGUCUAUCCCAUCAGAGUGCAGCCUGCUCGCAUCCUCAGCCACAUCUACGCCCGGCUGGGCCGCAACAAGCAGAUGUGCCUGACAGGUCGGCCCUAUCGGCACAUGGGUGUCCUUGGGACCUCCAAGCUCUACAACAUCAGGAAGAACAUCUUUACCUUUACCCCGCAGUUCAUAGACCAGCAGCAGUUCUACCUGGCUCUCGACAACAAGAUGAUUGUGGAGAUGCUGAGGACAGACCUCUCGUACCUCUGCAGCCGCUGGAGGAUGACUGGGCGGCCGACCAUCACCUUCCCCAUCUCCCACACCAUGCUCGAUGAAACGGGCAGCAGCGUGCACCCCACGGUGCUGGCAAUGCUGCGGAAGCUGCAGGAUGGGUAUUUCGGUGGCGCAAGGAUCCAGACGGGUAAGUUGUCGGAGUUCCUGACAACGUCGUGCCGAACGCAUCUCAGCUUUAUGGACCCUGGGCCAGAGGGUAAGGUCUUUGACAAGAGUUAUGAGCUCAGCAUUGACAGCUUUGAGGAGCUAGACGCCGAGGAGUGGCUGCAUGGCUUGCAGAUAGCAGAGGAUGCGGACACGUAUGACGAGGUUGCUCAGUACUUGGACCACCUGCUGCAGCGCACAGUUCCCCAGUCGAACCUUCCUCCCACCGCCCAGCGGGGAGGGCUGAGCCGCUUCCGGGCUGCUGUCCACACCACCCGUGACCUCAUGUCCCUGGCAUCCAAGGCCAAGGACCUUCAUGUCCAGAAUGUUGGGAUGUAUGUCCCCAGCAAGAUCUUCCAGGCAUCCCAGCAGUCAGUCAAGCUGCUGAGUUCACCCCACCAGCAUGACGUGGAUGGCAAGAGCCACGCACUCCAUGCAGAGAUGAACCUUCCCCGUGAUGAGGAUGGCAAUGUGGACUGCAAGGCACUGGUGGACCAGCUGCGUAUCUGCCCCACCCUGCAGGAGCAAGCAGACAUCCUCUACAUGCUCCACAUCCUCAAGGGGCCCGAGUGGCACACGGGGCUUGAUAGCGAGCCUGGCCCAACUGUCAAGGAGCUCCUCACUGAGCUGUACGUGCGGGUGGGGGACACACGCCAGUGGGCCCUGAUCCGCUACAUCUCUGGCAUCCUCAAAAAGAAGGUGGAAGCUCUGGACGAGGCCUGCACUGACCUUCUGUCUCACCAGAAGCACUUGACAGUUGGGCUGCCCCCAGAGCCACGUGAGAAGACUAUCUCUGCCCCGAUCCCCUACGAGGAGCUUGUUUGCCUCAUUGAUGAAGCCAGUGAGAAGAACCUCAGUGUGUCCAUCCUCACUCAGGAGAUCAUGGUGUACUUGGCCAUGUGCAUGCGCACACAGCCCACACUCUUUGCUGAGAUGUUCCGCAUCCGCAUCGGGCUCAUCAUCCAGGUGAUGGCAACGGAGCUGGCGCACUCCCUGCGCUGCUCGGCUGGAGAAGCCACUGAGAACCUGAUGAAUCUCAGCCCAUCAGACAUGAAGAACCUCCUCUACCACAUCCUCUCUGGCAAGGAGUUUGGGGUGGAAAGGAGUGUGCGAUCAAUCGACUCGUCGGUCACCACUAUCUCCAUCUGUGAGGUGGGGGCUGUUGGGGCUACCAAGCCUGAGCGUGCUGGCAUUGUCAGGCUGAAAAGUGAGAUCAAACAGCAAUUGGAUAAACGUAGGCAGUCUCUGACUGGGAGUAAGCCCCUCAGUUUGCAGUCCGGAGACACUGACUUGAAGUCCUCUCUGUCUCUGUGGUCCUUGUUUUGUCUGCCCAGUCCACUGGGCAUGCAGAGCUGCUGGGCAAGGGCUCCUUUUCAAGAAUGCUGGAAGACCAGGGCAGUAAGGACAGCCGACAUGGCCAGUGGCAGCGGAGACGGCGGCUGGAUGGGGCGCUCAACCGUGUCCCUGUGGGCUUCUACCAGAAUGUCUGGAAGGUCCUACAGAAGUGCCAUGGCCUUUCUGUGGAGGGCUUUAUUCUCCCCUCUUCAACAACCAGAGAGAUGACCCCAGGGGAAAUGAAGUUUGCUGUGCAUGUGGAGUCAGUCCUCAACCGUGUGCCCCAGCCAGAGUACAGGCAGCUGCUGGUAGAGGCUAUCUUAGUGCUCACUAUGCUGGUGGAUAUGGAGGUGCACACCAUUGGCGGCGUCAUAGCUGUGGAAAAGAUCUUGCACACAGCUAAUGACCUCUUCUAUGAGGAACAGAAAGCCCUGGGUGCUGACGACCACAUGCUGGAGAGGGAUCCCACGACAGGCAUCUGCAGCCUGCUGUAUGACAGCGCACCAAGUGGUCGGUUUGGCACCAUGACCUACCUGUCCAAGUCGGCGGCCAUGUACGUGUACGACUUCCUGCCCGCUGACGGCUGCUCCAUGCAGUAGCUCUCGCAGCUCCUCUCCCCAGGCUGCAGAUGCCAUGGGAGGGUUGUUUCAUACAGCUUUUUAAAGAUGGGCAUUAGGCUAGUUUGCAGGCAGCCUGCAUGGCCAUCUCUCCUCCCAGUCCUGGCCUCUCAGUGGGUGAGCAGCUCUCCUGAGGAGCUCUGCAGGAGGCACACGUGCUAAGCUGACCUGUGCCUGCAUGCAGACUGUGGAGCAAGGGCUGGCAGGGGAAGGCUGAGCUUUGAAGCCUGCUUGUGUUAGAAGUGUCUGCCUGCACGGCUCCUCCUGGGCUGUCACCCCUGGAGGGGCCUGUGUUUGAGGGAGAUGGAGAGGGCCUCCCUCACUAAGUGUGUGUGCUCAGCACUGCAGCGUUCCCUGGUGAGCUCACGUUCUCCCUGCCUCCAGCAGAUUCAAGGGUUUUAACCUGUUCUGUGCUGCUUUUCAUUCCAAACUUGCAGGAUUUAUACUAGUGUAGGCUGGCAUUCUUGCUCUUCCUGCUGCUGAUGGAAAAGCCUUAGAGGAGUAGGGGAUGCUGCCUGAGCCUCUCUCCCAGCACACUCAAAAUCAAAAGUCCAACCCAGCCACAGCUGUGCUGCUUGGAGGUAGGUGGCCCAUCAUGCCCCUCUCAAGUGUGUGUAGCUGGGUAGCCUGUGGGAGCCAGGAGCAUCCCAAGGUGGUAACAGAUCCCUGUUACCACCAAGCUGUGAGGACAGGGCUUCUGGCUGGCUGGGGGAUGCUGGUGGCAGCCCCUCCAUGCCGUCUGCUCUGUGCCUGGCUGUGUUGCUAAUGGCUAAGUCUCAGGUUCCCAAGUUCAUACGUGCCCUGUGAAGCAGCUCUGAGCUGCCUGCUUGGCUCAGCAUUAGCUGUGCCAUCACAGAUGUCCUCUUAACGUGCAGCUCUGGCCUCUGUCCCAGCUCCCACAGCCUUGCACAGGAGAGGGGUGGUGACUUUAGACUUGGUCCCAGCUCUGCUCUAUCCUGCAGGUCAAACCCCAGAGCGGUUGGACUGAUGGGGAUCAGGCACACACACAACACAAAGUGGUGGGGUGAGUGGGGCUAUAGAGUCAUAGAAUAAUUUAGGUUGGAAGGG
This is an RNA transcript of Haliaeetus leucocephalus (bald eagle), 4846 nucleotides long. It is a transcript of the gene named phosphorylase kinase, alpha 1 (muscle), with no coding region annotated. The record is from RefSeq and is a predicted model, not a curated record. The transcript is spliced from 33 exons. NCBI's taxonomy places the organism in Eukaryota, Metazoa, Chordata, Aves, Accipitriformes, Accipitridae.